RNAcentral lists this ribosomal RNA (117 nucleotides) under Propithecus coquereli (Coquerel's sifaka). Lineage: Eukaryota; Metazoa; Chordata; Mammalia; Primates; Indriidae. The record is from RNAcentral.
AUCUACAACCAUACCACCCUGACCGUGCCUGAUCUUGUCUGAUCUCAGAAGCUAGGUGGGUCGGCCUGGUUAGUACUUGGAUAGGAGACUGCAUGGGAAUACUGGGUGCUGUGGAAU